Molecule: long non-coding RNA, 1859 nt
Organism: Oryzias latipes (Japanese medaka)
Lineage: Eukaryota; Metazoa; Chordata; Actinopteri; Beloniformes; Adrianichthyidae
Source: RefSeq, a predicted model, not a curated record
GGGAACAAAGAACAGCCUGGAGUCGAACCCGGGUUUCACGGACGGAAGGCGCCGCAGACCAGCACGAGCUAAACCGGCAGGGCAAUGCCCCGUCAACAUCAAAAAAUGCUUUUGUUUGUGUUUGUAUUGUACAUAUCUGUUUUCUCUUUAUGUAAAAAUACUUGUUUUUUUCUUAUUUAGUCUAAAAUGUGUUUAUCUAAAAAGGUAAAAGGGGCAGAUAAAGAAGCUUUCUGCCUUCUGUUGCCCUUUACGUCCUCCUGUUUCAGAACUUUUGCUUCGAUUGAUUUGUGGAAAUGCAGAUUAUUGUGAUUUUGGAACAGAUUGAGAUGUCAAGUUUUUCAGUAAUAGCCGCCUCUUCACAAAUUAGCUCUGUAAAAGCUUCUGGACGAAAGCAGCCACCAAAAGAGCUAAACGAAAUGAGAUCAAAUAAACGCAUGGGUAGAAAAAAACCUGCACAUGUUUGGUUAACACCCAGCAGAUGCAAGCGUGCUGUAUGAUUACACCGUCUCAGCAUGGAUCCUAUACCCACACAGACAGGAAAGACAUGGCAGCUGUUAGCCAUCAGCACCAGCACACAGGAGGCCAUGAACUACAGGCCACGGGAGCGUCUGCACAAAUAAACACCAACGUGUGCCUGUGUUUGCAAAUGUACACUCCAAUGCAGCCGGAUGCACGGGGAAGCGCCUGGAGGCGGGAAUGCUCACAGCCUGCUGUUUAGCCCACCGCACGCCCCUGAAGGUUUCUGCCGAAGAACAUAAACAUCCUGAAAAUGACCUCUGCCCCUCCUCAUUGCGUCUCCUUGUGGGCGGGGCUUGUUUGUUUCCCGGUUGUUUUGAGGGCGACCCGUUAAGAACCAACACUUUCCUGACACCUCCUGGGCUGGUGUUCAGGGAAGACUUCAGUGUUUCCCUUUCUGUUGGGACUCUCCCUGGGCUGAUGGGUGGGGCUUUCAGGCAGCAGACUUGUGUGAAUGAUGUGGACUUCGCAGUCACAGCCUUGACUCAGUCCACACCCUCGACUUAAAGAGGAGUUGUUAGGAGGAGGAGCAAACUUAGCAAGCGCUCUGUGCUCCCUUUGAGCCGGGACUUGACUUGUGAGUCCUCCAUGAGCAACAUGUGUGCACGCUCUGGCCUGUGUUGACUCUGGGAAGAAUUCCCUGACUUUCGGAUCUCUGCAGUCUGGGCGAAUUCAGUCGUCAGGCUUUUUGAACAAAUCACAUUCUACUCAGAUUUGUGUGAUCUUUUUUCUGCUUCCCCAUCUCCUCUGCAUGUUUGGAUGAUGAUGAGAAAAACCAGCCUUGUGGUUGAGGUUAAGGCGUGACGUGGAGCAUCGGGAAAACCACAGUCUGUUGCAUUAGUGGGUAAGGCGCGGGGCUUUUCCUCCUUUCUGUACCAACUCAUUCAAGUGUUUUAAGAAGAUUAUCUGACGGCAAACAACUACAUUCAUGACAGACAUGUCUGCCUACUUUCAAAUUCUCAAACAAUUCAUGGCAGAAUAUGAGGGACAAAAUAAAAGAUGGAUAAUGAUGGCAAAACAAGUAGAUAAAUAGACAAAUUAAAAAAAACUACUUGCAGCAAGAAAGAAAAGAUGAUUGUAUUUUGACAAACAUUUUGCAUGAUUAUCUUGAGGAAUGAACAUUUACUUUUAUUAAAUAGUCGCAAAAAAUAUAUAUGCAAACAAAACAGAGUUUGAACAUGUUUAAGGGAGAAAAAAUAACCUUAAGAUACUUUUAGUAGUGGAAUUUAUUCAUUUUAUGGAGUUUUAAGGCUACCAUGAGAGAAAAAUUAAAUGAGAAAAAGGUAAAAAAAAAAGUCUAACUUAUACUAGAAUAAAGUCAUACAACAAUUACAUUUUAUGAA